RNAcentral lists this ribosomal RNA (460 nucleotides) under uncultured bacterium. RNAcentral's name for it is "bacterial SSU rRNA". It matches the Rfam family "Bacterial small subunit ribosomal RNA", at positions 28 to 507 of the family's 1533-position model. The record is from RNAcentral.
GAUGAACGCUGGCGGCGUGCUUAACACAUGCAAGUCGAACGUGAAGAAGCAGCAAUGUUUCUGAAAGUGGCGGACGGGUGAGUAACACGUGGGUGACCUGCCUUGCAGAGGGGGGAUAACGAGGGGAAACCUUCGCUAAUACCGCAUAGGCUUACACCGAUGGGAAUGGUGUGGGUAAAACUGAGGUGCUGCAAGAGGGGCCUGCGUCCGAUUAGCUAGUUGGUGAGGUAAUGGCUCACCAAGGCGAUGAUCGGUAGCUGGUCUGAGAGGACGAUCAGCCACACGGGAACUGAGAAACGGUCCCGACUCCUACGGGGGGCAGCAGUGAGGAAUAUUGGGCAAUGGACGAAAGUCUGACCCAGCAACGCCGCGUGGAGGAUGAAGGUUUUUGGAUUGUAAACUCCUUUUGUGGGGAAGAGUGAGGACGGUACCCCAAGAAUAAGUCACGGCUAACUACGUG